This 474-nucleotide ribosomal RNA is filed under the name uncultured bacterium. RNAcentral's name for it is "bacterial SSU rRNA". It matches the Rfam family "Bacterial small subunit ribosomal RNA", at positions 328 to 793 of the family's 1533-position model. The record is from RNAcentral.
CGCUAUCACUCCUACGGGAGGCAGCAGUGGGGAAUAUUGCACAAUGGGGGAAACCCUGAUGCAGCCAUGCCGCGUGUGUGAAGAAGGCCUUCGGGUUGUAAAGCACUUUCAGUAGGGAGGAAGGUAGUGUAGUUAACACCUGCAUUAUUUGACGUUACCUACAGAAGAAGCACCGGCUAACUCCGUGCCAGCAGCCGCGGUAAUACGGAGGGUGCGAGCGUUAAUCGGAAUUACUGGGCGUAAAGCGCAUGCAGGCGGCCUGUUAAGUCAGAUGUGAAAGCCCGGGGCUUAACCUCGGAAUUGCAUUUGAAACUGGCAGGCUAGAGUCUUGUAGAGGGGGGUAGAAUUUCAGGUGUAGCGGUGAAAUGCGUAGAGAUCUGAAGGAAUACCAGUGGCGAAGGCGGCCCCCCUGGACAAAGACUGACGCUCAGAUGCGAAAGCGUGGGGAGCAAACAGGAUUAGAUACCCUGGUAG